Molecule: long non-coding RNA, 629 nt
Organism: Macrobrachium nipponense
Lineage: Eukaryota; Metazoa; Arthropoda; Malacostraca; Decapoda; Palaemonidae
Exons: 4
Source: RefSeq, a predicted model, not a curated record
GCUAAGUGGCUAAACAGCUGCGGAAUAACGAAGGAUCCCUGCGCAAACGGCGGUUACACUGGCAGCGCCUGCGCAUGCGUGUGCCCUCCCGGGACAACCGGUAAAAGUUGCCAGACAGUUCAAGGCGAUUACUAUCAAAAAAAGUUACCAUCCUGUAACCAGAUAAUAACAGAGGAUACACUACUGCUGUCGCCUGACCAUCCCUCCAAUAUAAAAGCAGGCACAGUUUGCGUUUACCAAAUCAAGGCCGCCUCGAGGCAAAUGGUUCGUCUGAAUUUCACCCGGUUUCACCUCGAACAGUCUGCACCCAAUUGCCUCGACGCUAGUCUGACAGUCUUCACUGCCAACGAUGUUUUCUCCGUCUGCGAGUUCGCCCAAGUGACCAACACCAUCGGCGAUUUCGUCGGUCCCGUAUCCUUCCUGCUGGACGUCAGGAACGGCGGCAGCCAAGGAUUCCAAGUCGACAUCAAAUUCCUAACCAGCGGAACGCCGACGAAAACGAAGCUGUCUUUGGCUGGCGGGACGCGUCUCUCCUGGUCAGUGCUGACGCUCCUGCUGUGCCCUCUGGUGGCCGCCUUCCUGAAGUGAAUUACCUCCCCUCUCUCUCCGUCUCUUUCUCUCUUUGAUUA